RNAcentral lists this unclassified non-coding RNA (207 nucleotides) under plant metagenome. RNAcentral describes it as "partial contains small subunit ribosomal RNA and internal transcribed spacer 1". The stretch from base 1 to 45 matches the Rfam family "Eukaryotic small subunit ribosomal RNA", at positions 1787 to 1831 of the family's 1831-position model. The record is from RNAcentral.
AGUCGUAACAAGGUUUCCGUAGGUGAACCUGCGGAAGGAUCAUUAAAGAAUCGCCGCUUGGAUUUGGUAAUGGUUCCUAAUCCACUGUUACAUACCUUUGUUGCUUUGGCAGGCCGCCGCUUAGGCGUUGGCUCCGGCUGACUGCGCCUGCCAGAGGACCCAAACUCGUUUGUUUAGUGAUGUCUGAGUACUAUAUAAUAGUUAAAA